RNAcentral lists this ribosomal RNA (266 nucleotides) under uncultured bacterium. RNAcentral describes it as "partial 16S ribosomal RNA". It matches the Rfam family "Bacterial small subunit ribosomal RNA", at positions 793 to 1055 of the family's 1533-position model. The record is from RNAcentral.
GUCCACGCCGUAAACGAUGGGUGCUAGGUGUCGCGGGCUUUGACCCCUGCGGUGCCGUAGCUAACGCAUUAAGCACCCCGCCUGGGGAGUACGGCCGCAAGGCUAAAACUCAAAGGAAUUGACGGGGGCCCGCACAAGCGGUGGAGCAUGUGGUUCAAUUCGACGCAACGCGCAGAACCUUACCUGGGCUAGAAAAUGCAGGGACCUGGUUGAAAAAUCGGGGUGCCUUUCGGGGAACCUGUAGUUAGGUGCUGCAUGGCUGUCGU